This 464-nucleotide ribosomal RNA is filed under the name uncultured bacterium. Its description in RNAcentral is "partial 16S ribosomal RNA". It matches the Rfam family "Bacterial small subunit ribosomal RNA", at positions 28 to 507 of the family's 1533-position model. The record is from RNAcentral.
GACGAACGCUGGCGGCGUGCUUAACACAUGCAAGUCGAACGGUAAGGCCCCAGCUUGCUGGGGUACACGAGUGGCGAACGGGUGAGUAACACGUGGGUGACCUGCCCUGCACUUCGGGAUAAGCCUGGGAAACUGGGUCUAAUACCGGAUAGGACCGCACCGUGAGGGUGUGGUGGAAAGUUUUUCGGUGUGGGAUGGGCCCGCGGCCUAUCAGCUUGUUGGUGGGGUAAUGGCCUACCAAGGCGGCGACGGGUAGCCGGCCUGAGAGGGUGGACGGCCACAUUGGGACUGAGACACGGCCCAGACUCCUACGGGAGGCAGCAGUGGGGAAUAUUGCACAAUGGGCGGAAGCCUGAUGCAGCGACGCCGCGUGGGGGAUGACGGCCUUCGGGUUGUAAACUCCUUUCACCAUCGACGAAGGUUUUCUGAUGGUAGAUGGAGAAGAAGCACCGGCUAACUACGUG